RNAcentral lists this ribosomal RNA (460 nucleotides) under uncultured bacterium. RNAcentral's name for it is "partial 16S ribosomal RNA". It matches the Rfam family "Bacterial small subunit ribosomal RNA", at positions 338 to 795 of the family's 1533-position model. The record is from RNAcentral.
CCUACGGGAGGCAGCAGUGAGGAAUAUUGGUCAAUGGCCGGAAGGCUGAACCAGCCAAGCCGCGUGAGGGAGGAAGGCGCAGAGCGUCGCAGACCUCUUUUGCCGGGGGACAAAAGGCCGGACUCGUCCGGUCCUGAGGGUACCCGGAGAAAAAGCAUCGGCUAACUCCGUGCCAGCAGCCGCGGUAAUACGGAGGAUCCGAGCGUUAUCCGGAUUUAUUGGGUUUAAAGGGUGCGUAGGCGGCCUUUUAAGUCAGCGGUGAAAGUCUGUGGCUCAACCAUAGAAUUGCCGUUGAAACUGGGAGGCUUGAGUAUGUUUGAGGCAGGCGGAAUGCGUGGUGUAGCGGUGAAAUGCUUAGAUAUCACGCAGAACCCCGAUUGCGAAGGCAGCCUGCCAAGCCAUGACUGACGCUGAUGCACGAAAGCGUGGGGAUCAAACAGGAUUAGAUACCCUUGUAGUC